This 244-nucleotide unclassified non-coding RNA is filed under the name uncultured fungus. RNAcentral describes it as "partial contains 5.8S ribosomal RNA, internal transcribed spacer 2, and large subunit ribosomal RNA". Lineage: Eukaryota; Fungi. The record is from RNAcentral.
AACGCACAUUGCGCCCCUUGGUAUUCCGGGGGGCACACCUGUUCGAGCGCCAUUUCACCCCUCGAGCCCUGCUCGGUGAUGGGCCACGUCCUCGCGGACGGGCCCGAAACUCGUAGGCGCCAUCGUCCGGCCCUAAGCGUAGCAAGAGAAAUCCCUCGCUUGGUGGACCGUCUGGUGGCAGCCCCGACAACUUUUUUUUUACAAGGUUGGCCUCGGAUCAGGUGGGGAUACCCGCUGAACUUAA